GGAGUCGGACAGGCAGUCGCUGCCUCGGAUCCAUCGAAGCAGAGGAAAGUCCGGGCUCCAAAGGGCAAGGGUGCCAGGUAAUGCCUGGGAGGCGCAAGCCUACGGAAAGUGCCGCAGAAAACAAACCGCCUCGUAUCGGAUCCCCGAUAUCGAGGUAAGGGUGAAAAGGUGCGGUAAGAGCGCACCGCGCCGACGGUAACGUCGGUGGCAGGGUAAACCCCACCCGGAGCAAGACCAAAUAGGGGAGCAGUCCGCAUAAAAAGCGGCAAGGUGUGGCCCGCAUCGCUCCCGGGUAGGUCGCUGGAGGCGUAUGGUGACAUGCGUCGCAGAUGAAUGGCUGCCCUCGACAGAACCCGGCUUAUCGGCCGACUCCCGCC
This 377-nucleotide RNase P RNA is filed under the name Ectothiorhodospiraceae bacterium AqS1. Its description in RNAcentral is "Bacterial RNase P class A". It matches the Rfam family "Bacterial RNase P class A". Rfam says of the family: Ribonuclease P (RNase P) is a ubiquitous endoribonuclease, found in archaea, bacteria and eukarya as well as chloroplasts and mitochondria. Its best characterised activity is the generation of mature 5'-ends of tRNAs by cleaving the 5'-leader elements of precursor-tRNAs. The record is from Rfam by way of RNAcentral. Lineage: Bacteria; Pseudomonadati; Pseudomonadota; Gammaproteobacteria; Chromatiales; Ectothiorhodospiraceae.